Drosophila montana is the source of this 1771-nucleotide long non-coding RNA. RefSeq lists it as uncharacterized. Lineage: Eukaryota; Metazoa; Arthropoda; Insecta; Diptera; Drosophilidae. The transcript has 3 exons. The record is from RefSeq and is a predicted model, not a curated record.
AGAACAUUCAAAAUAUGACUAUAAACCAGCACUGACGUGCAGCGUGAACUUUUAUUUCUACAUUGGGUUCCAACCCUUCAGAAGCCUUGAUCUGAAUAAAAAAUGUCUCAAUUACAUUUUUUUAUUAUAUUAUAGGGUAUAUUGCCGUGGCUAUUUUCACUUUGUCUGAAAUUGUGUAACGCCCCAGGGAAACACAUUUCUGACGUGCAGAAACAACUCCUGCUCAGUUUAAUUCAUUUACCACAGAGCUCUGAAAUGGAUCAACAGGAGAAAAGAUUUUUGUUUUGGACAAAUAUUUUACUUUAAUUUGGCAAGGAUCAGAUUGUGAGCAGAAAUGAAAUCAAAAUCUUUGUGAAAACAUUUCAUGCAAAUGAAUAAAUAAGCAAGUGCCAAAGAGGCUUUGACUGACAGCAGACGAGCGCAGAGGGAAGCAGGAUGCAGGACGCAGGGCAAAGGACGAGGUAGGCAACAGUUACAUAUUUACAUAAAUAUUACACGGCUAUUACGAUAUGCCUGUAGCACGCCCAAAGGCAGUGCGUGCGUGUGUGGGUGUGUGCUACUUGUCACAGGCAAAUAUGUAGUUAAACAUGUGUGUGUGUGUGUGUGUGUGUUGUGUGUGUGUUUGGUCUGUGUAAAUAAAUGUAUGUUACUUUCUGUCAUGCAUUACAAUAAUAUGAAAAUUAUUUGAAAUGUAAUUUCAACUUAAUAAAUUUUCAUAAAAAAGGAGGCGUCUCCUCACAACCCAAUUGACAAACACUCACACACACACACACACACACACACACACACACACAGAUACGCAUACACACAGAGAGAUACCAGCAUGGCUAAGUGUUUAAACAGCGCCGUAGAAAGCAGUCGAGACGCCUGCAAGGGCUGCCUCAUUACGGAAGCCAGCGAUGGCGAACGACGAAGGAAAUGCUGAAAGGGAGACGGCGAGGAAGGCGCAGGACAAUGAGGACGCCGGUGAAAAUGGCGACGACAGGAAGUGAAGUUGUCGAAACUGCGUUCCCCUUGCCUCUGCCCGCUUGCCUUUUAUCCGCAUAUAACUUUUUAUGCUGCACAGCUAAAAGCGUGUGCGAUUGUCUCUGCGAGUGUGUGCGGGCGUGUGUGUGUGUGUGUGCGUGUGUGUGUGUGUGUGUACGCAGCAGGGUGGGCCAGAGCAAGGCUGGCAGAAGAGCUACUAUUUAAGACAGACCUAAAUGAAAGUGCGGCCUGCAGCUGUAGCUAAAAAUGAGAAGGCAAAACUGAAACUGCGAAUGGCAGUGGGUGUGGCAAUAAACUGGGCAUGGGCAAUGGGUGUGGGCGUGGUCCUAGGCCAGCUGUCGAAUGUAGACUAAAUCAAGUUAGCACACUGAAUGGCCAAUGAGCAAUGAAAACGUUCCCAUGGCUAUGCACUUUCACAAGUCAUUUUUUUGCGUGUGUGAGUGUGAGUGUACAUGUCAAAUCUCUUUCUCCGCCAAUUCGCCAACAUUUUUAUAUCAUCAAUUUGGGCUAGCGCCAAACUUUGCCAACUACUCUCGUGUUAUGUGGAAAAUAAGGAAAAAGGCAAAGCAUUCCACACACACACACACACACACACACACACACGCACACACACAACUUUGUGGCCAGUUGCCAGGAUGAGCUUUUGUUGGUGCAUUUGAAUUUUGUUCUAUGGGAUUGGCUUAUAAUAUGAAUGCACUUAAAUUAAAUUCCAUAUUUUUAUGUAGUUUUAAAACUUGAACCGUAAUAAAAUGUUCUCGACAUGAAAUACACAAAAGCCCCUCAG